AAAAUUAUAGUAUAAGUUUGGAUUAUAUCUCAUUGUCAAUGGGAAGAUUUUUAAUUUUA
This 59-nucleotide transfer RNA is filed under the name Phocanema krabbei. RNAcentral describes it as "Pseudoterranova krabbei tRNA-Asp". Lineage: Eukaryota; Metazoa; Nematoda; Chromadorea; Rhabditida; Anisakidae. RNAcentral also lists the same sequence under 1 other name. The record is from RNAcentral.